GCAUCUCCCCAGCGGGUCCUGGGACUGCUCCUCCAACGGUAUGGCUGGUGGCUGCGUUGUACUUCAUUAGACGUUGUAAGCAACUGGUUCUUGCAUCAUUCUUCCAGGGUAUUCCUGUAUUUCGUCCUUGAAAAUACAAUCUGCACUUACUUCUCUCUAGGAUCUUCCUUCUGUAUAAAUGUAACUGCCUAAGUGAAGUAACUGAAGUAUAUUACAAGUCUUGCAGUGGAUGGAAAGGAAGGCUGGUUUUUGCCAGCUCUCCUGUUCUGACUAUGCCACAUGGAAGAUGCUGUGAGCAUUUUGGAGUGAAUGGUGGUAAAUGAGUGCUUCAAAUGGAGAAGGUUCUUAUGUGUUUAAUUUUCAUCAGAGGCUGGAUCAGUGGAGUGAAGAAAGGUUUCUCCAAGGAUUAAUCUAGGAAAAGGUAGACAGCAAUAAAGAAAAGCUUCAAAGGAAGAAUGUGAAAGCAUUGCUUGGAUACGUAGGGACAAAAUUACAAAUGACAAAGUCCAGCUGCAACUAGAACUAGCAGAGAACACGAAAGAUGGCAAGCUUGCUCCCAGGAUUCUGCAUGUGCUGCUGCAGCUUGGGAAGGAGAUGGCAACCAACAGCAACAGGUUAGUGACUACUCAGGAAGGCUGGUUUUCUUAAAAUCUGUGGAAGUGGUUGGGAUUCACCUGGGGGUGCUGGUGCAGUGAC
Molecule: long non-coding RNA, 696 nt
Organism: Pezoporus occidentalis (night parrot)
Lineage: Eukaryota; Metazoa; Chordata; Aves; Psittaciformes; Psittacidae
Exons: 5
Source: RefSeq, a predicted model, not a curated record